Rattus norvegicus (Norway rat) is the source of this 22901-nucleotide non-coding RNA. The record is from RefSeq and is a predicted model, not a curated record. Lineage: Eukaryota; Metazoa; Chordata; Mammalia; Rodentia; Muridae.
CACCGCUUCCGACUGACUUCCGGGAGAGGGUGAGCUUGGUACCUGCGCGCCCUAGGUUCUUCGGAUUUCUUCUGGGGCAGGGCGGGUGGUUGUCUUGGUGACCGCUCCUAACGGUCCGGUAACCCCGAGAUACUUGUUGAGGGGUUGCAGCCUGAGCUGCUGACUGAAGACGCCAUUGGUUCUUCCAAGUGUCCAGGUGAAGCUGGUUCUAGCCUUAUAUGCGGAGUUACUGACGCUUGAGAGAAGAUUGAUUCAAAUAAUGUCUCGAAAAAUUGCCAAGGAAUCAAAAAAAGUUAAUAUCUCUAGUUCUCUGGAAUCUGAAGAUAUUAGUUUAGAAACAACCAUUCACACAGAUGAUGUUUCCUCAUCAGAAGAGCGAGAGGGUAAAGUCAAAAUCACCAGGCAGUUAAUCGAAAGAAAAGAGAUACUUCAUAAUAUUCAGUUACUGAAAAUCGAGCUAUCCCAAAAAAAUAUGAUGAUUGACAACUUAAAAAUGGAUUAUCUUACAAAGGUUGAAGAGCUGGAGGAAAAACUUAAUGAUGCCCUUCACCAGAAGCAGCUGCUAACUUUGAGAUUAGACAAUCAAUUGACUAUUCAACAGAAAGACGCCAAAAAAUAUCAAGAACUAAUGAAACAAGAAAUGGAGACCAUUUUGUUGAGACAGAAGCAACUGGAAGAGACAAAUCAUCAGCUAAGAGAAAAGGCUGGCGAUGUCCGUCGGAAUCUUCGAGACUUGGAGCUAACGGAAGAGCAGUAUGAGAAGCUAAAAUCUUUUCCUGAAGAUCAGCUUUCUAUUCCUGAAUUUGUCUCUAUUCGGUUCUAUGAGCUAGUAAACCCAUUAAGAAAGGAAAUCCAUGAACUACAGGUGAAGAAGAAUGAACUAUCUGAAGAGUUAAGUACAAAUAAAGGCCAACUGAAGCAGCUGACGGAGACAUAUGAAGAAGCUCGAAGGAACCACUCUGAACUUCUAACUCGAUGUCAACGUUUGGCCUUAGAAUUAGCAGACACGAAACAGUUAGUUCAGCAAGGAGAUUACCGUCAAGAGAACUAUGACAAAGUGAAGAGUGAACGCGAUGCUCUCGAACAGGAAGUACUCGAGGUUAGAAGGAAACAUGAGGUACUUGAAACCUCUCACAUAGCUCAAGCUAAAGAAAGGAAUGAAUUAUCGAAAGAGGUAAGCACCUUGCAGCAGACAGUCACCCUGCUGCAGAAAGAUAAAGAAUACCUCAAUCGCCAAAACAUGGAGCUCAGUGUACGCUGUGCCCAUGAGGAGGAUCGCCUGGAAAGGUUGCAAGUUCAACUGGAAGAGACCAAAAGGGCUAGAGAAGAGAUGUAUGAGAAAUAUGUCACAUCCAGAGACCAUUAUAAAACAGAAUAUGAAAAUAAACUACAUGAUGAACUGGAACAAAUCAAAUUGAAAACUAAUCUAGAAAUUGAUCAGCUUCGAAGUGCUUCUAGGGAAAUGUAUGAACGAGAAAACAGAAAUCUCCGUGAAGCAAGAGAUAAUGCUCUCGCUGAAAAGAACCGAGCAGUGACAGCGGAAAAAGACGCUCUAGAAAAGCAUGAGCAGCUCCUAGACAGGUAUGUGCAUGAUGGACAUUGAAAGCUGGUUUUAGUCCUGGCAGAACCUGAAGCACCUAACUGGAGACUGGGCAAGUGCUGUGGAUGAAGCGCUUUCCAGUGCGGCUCUUCACGUUCCUCUGUCAACCAGGUGUAAGAAGAGCUGGCCAGGCAUUCGGGCAGAAUGAAUACGUGAGGACUAAGGCUUCUGGGGUGUGAAGGUCUCUGCUCUAAAUUCUUAAAUGUACUGUAGUUUUAAGUACUUUACUUAAUAUCCAUACGUGAAGUCCCCACUCCUUUUUUUCAUCUGUAUGUUAUCUGUGACAAUUGCUUGUGAGAAUGAUACAUUGGUUAAAUUACCACAAAAAAGCAGUGAUUAAUUCACCCUUUUUGACAGUAUUAUUUUAAGGAUCAACACAUUCACUUGUCUUAAGUUAGGAAUAUGGAUUGGAAAAGAUGCUGUCAUCUAUGACCAGGUCACCAAAUGCAAUAGUACAUUAGCAUAUGUGUAUAUAUGCAGUCAAUGUACCAAUAGUACAUUAACAUACGUGCAUAUAUGCAGUCAGUGUACCAAUAAUACAUUAAUAUAUGUGUAUAUAUGCAGUCAGUGUACCAAAAGUUUUUAGUGUAGAUUCCUAGAGCCUGACCCAAGAUACUUUGGCAUACUUUUUAUUUUUUAUUUUAUAAUCCUGGGGCACUGAGCCCAGGAUUUUGUGUUUAAGAAAUGGGCACUUUUUGGACUGGAGAGAUGACUCAGUGGUUAAGAGCACUGACUGCUCUUCCAGAGGUCCUCAGUUCAAUUCCCAGCAACCACAUGGUGGCUCACAACCAUCUGUAAUGGGAUUUGAUGCCCUCUUCUGGUGUUUGAAGACAGGUACAGUAUACUUAUGUAUAAUAAAUACAUCUUUAAAAAAAAGAGAGAGAGAUUCAUUUAAAAAAAGAGAAAUAGGUACUUUAUCAAUAAGACAUACCUCUACCUAUGCUAUUUUGGGAAUGUGUGUAUUAUUAUAUGUAGUAAAAUACAUGGGUAAAACAUUUUUCGUUCUUCAGAGAUUGGCGUUUAAUGUCUAAAUAUAUAAUUCUGGCUUUUUAUCUAAAUGAGAAUAAACAAAUGUCUUUUAAUCUUUAUAUUGAAUGUGGCUUUCCUGAAUUUUCUUUAAGUUCAGCAUCUAACAUGCAUAUACCCAACUUUCUGGCAUAUACCCAACUUUCCAGUCAUGUAUAAUUAGUGUCACUUUCUUUUAUGUGAGAUUUUAUCAAAUGCCUCAUUUUAUGAUUAAACAAUCCAUGUCACUAUAUUUAGAAACAGCAUAAGGAAGCAGUGUGCCAUUUUCAAAUGUGAAUGUAAAAGGCUUUCUACCCAGAACUAUAAAGGUCUUUUCUUAGGUAUAUAAAAAAAAAAAAACCUAUGUUUGUCCCAAUUUCUAGUAUGAUAAAGUCUCUAAAAAUAAGUAACAACUACCCAAAACUCGCAAACAUGAGCAAAGCUCAUGUUCUGUUGCUUUAAAUAUCUGUGGACUUUGAGGGUUCUUCCCACCAGAAAGAAAUUGUGGAACUCAGUCAAUAUGAGUAUUAGAAAAACUGAAUGCCCUGUACAAUUUGGGAAUUCUUCACUAGAAGCCUGGAUUUGAAGCUAUAAUGUAAGUGUACAAUUCAAAAUUAACUUAGAUUGUAAAUAUUUUCAGCUGUAGAUUAUCUUGUCUGAAAAAUAUUUCCUGGAUGGACAUGAUGGCAUACCUUGGAAUCCUAGCACUUAUAGGCAAAGGCAGGAGGAUCAAGAGUUCAAGACUUUACUUAGCUACAUAACAAGUUUGUCAAAUGGCCUACCUCAGGGGCAAAAGACACUGCCUUAAAACAGUAAAAAUAGGGGGAAGGGCAAUUUGUGUUUUGACCAUGAAGUUUAAAAACAUUUCGUGGUUAAAAGUAUUUUCAAAGAACUAUUCAUUUGAAAUGUCCUCAGCCCCACUGCACAACUUCUCUGAUAAUGGUAGAAUUCCUGGCACCAUUUUUACUUGUAUAAGAGUGGACAGGCAAGUUGGUGAUCAGAGUAACAUUUAUACCUUACUGAACUGGAUUAAAAGUUGUGGGGUUGGGGAUUUAGCUCAGCGGUAGAGCGCUUGCCUAGCGAGCGCAAGGCCCUGGGUUCGGUCCCCAGCUCUGAAAAAAAGAAAAAAAAAAAGUUGUUAGUAUGGCUAGGUAUGUGUGCGAUCCUAGCACAUGGGAGAGAGAGGCAAGAUUGUGAGUUUGAGACUAACCUGGGACCACAUGCAGUACCUGUUCCAAAAAAAAGGAGCAAAUCAAACUCAGCCAUCGGUAUGGAGACAAACCCCAGGUUUCCCAAGAGGAAGAUAUGGGGUGCUCUCAUUCUCCUCCUUCCCUUCCUGUGUGCUGUAGACUGCAGAAGCCUUUGCCUGUCUGCCUUUUAGUCAGUGCUACAUUUCAGCAAGGAAACAUCUCUCUGUGGGGCUUACACAUGAACUUAGUGGACUGAAGCCUACAGAGAUACGAAAUAAAAGUGGUAAUAUACCCAAACUUUGUUUUGUAUAAAAUUAUAUUGUAAUUCUUGUGGUUUACAAGUAAUUCACAUGAUUUGUUUUAAAUGCAGAAAUUGAUAAUCUGUGUUUCAUCCUUAAAAGCACAAGAUAAAUUAACACUUUGUUAAAUAUACAUUAACACUUUGUAAAAUGAAAUCAUUAGUGCAGACAGUGGCGCAGAUCUUCCUGGUUGCUGCCACCGCGCAGAGCUCGUAGGCAGCACCCCACGAGCAAACUUGAGCCUCGGGACCACAGGUAAGACCAACUUUUCUGCUGCAAGAGACCUGCCUGGUGAACUCAGGACACACGGAGGCAAAAUUCCUCUAGGACCGGGCACCUCCUGUGUUUACCGGGAGUCCCAAACCCGCGGAUCCCGGCCCGCAGCAGCUCUCUGCUCCCAAACCCCGUGGAAGAGAGACCUCACUGCCUGGUCAGGUGGGCACUCCUAAAGCUGCAGAGCGGAAGAGACCACCAACACUGCCCACCCCUGCCCACAUCCCUGGCCCAAGAGGAAACUGUAUAAGGCCUCUGGGUUCCCGGGGGGAGGGCCCAGGAGCGGCAGGACCCCUGCGCCUGAGACACCGCCGGAACCUGAAGGGACAGACCGGAUAAACAGUUCUCUGCACCCAAAUCCCGUGGGAGGGAGAGCUAAACCUACAGAGAGGCAGACACGCCUAGGAAACCAGAAGACACUGCACUCUGCACACAUCUCUGACGCCAGAGGAAAACACCAAACGCCAUCUGGAACCCUGGUGCAUGAAGGCUCCCGGAAACGGCGGCGCACAUCUUCCUGGUUGCUGCCACCACAGAGAGCCCGAGGGAAGCACCCCGCGAGCAAACUUGAGCCUCGGGACCACAGGUAAGACCAACUUUUCUGCUGCAAGUGACCUGCCUGGUGAACACCAGACACAGGCCCACAGGAACAGCUGAAGGCCUGUAGAUAGGAAAAACUACACGCCCGAAAGCAGAACACUCUGUCCCCAUAACGGGCUGAAAGAAAACAGGAAAACAGGUCUACAGCACUCCUGACACACAGGCUUAUAGGACAGUCUAGCCACUGUCAGAAAUAGCAGAACAAAGUAACACUAGAGAUAAUCUGAUGGCGAGAGGCAAGCGCAGGAACCCAAGCAACAGAAACCAACACGACAUGGCAUCAUCGGAGCCCAAUUCUCCCACCAAAGCAAACACGGAAUAUCCAAACACACCAGAAAAGCAAGAUCUAGUUUCAAAAUCAUAUUUGAUCAGGAUGCUGGAGGACUUCAAGAAAGACGUGAAGAACUCCCUUAGAGAACAAGUAGAAGCCUACAGAGAGGAAUCACAAAAAUCCCUGAAAGAAUUCCAGGAAAUCAUAAAUAAACAAGUAGAAGCCCAUAAAGAGGAGUCAAAAAAAUCCCUGAAAGAAUUCCAGGAAAACACAAACAGUUGAAGGAAUUAAAAAUGGAAAUAGAAGCAAUCAAGAAAGAACACAUGAAACAACCCUGGAUAUAGAAAACCAAAAGAAGAGACAAGGAGCUGUAGAUACAAGCUUCACCAACAGAAUACAAGAGAUGGAAGAGAGAAUCUCAGGAGCAGAAGAUUCCAUAGAAAUCAUUGACUCAACUGUCAAAGAUAAUGUAAAGCGGAAAAAGCUACUGGUCCAAAACAUACAGGAAAUCCAGGACUCAAUGAGAAGAUCAAACCUAAGGAUAAUAGGUAUAGAAGAGAGUGAAGACUCCCAGCUCAAAGGACCAGUAAAUAUCUUCAACAAAAUCAUAGAAGAAAACUUCCCUAACCGAAAGAAAGAGAUACCUAUAGGCAUACAAGAAGCCUACAGAACUCCAAAUAGAUUGGACCAGAAAAGAAACACCUCCCGUCACAUAAUUGUCAAAACACCAAACGCACAAAAUAAAGAAAGAAUAUUAAAAGCAGUAAGGGAAAAAGGUCAGGUAACAUAUAAAGGCAGACCUAUCAGAAUUACACCAGACUUUUCGCCAGAAACUAUGAAAGCCAGAAGAUCCUGGACAGAUGUCAUACAGACCCUAAGAGAACACAAAUGCCAGCCCAGGUUACUGUAUCCUGCAAAACUCUCAAUUAACAUAGAUGGAGAAACCAAGAUAUUCCAUGACAAAACCAAAUUUACACAAUAUCUUUCUACAAAUCCAGCACUACAAAGGAUAAUAAAUGGUAAACCCCAACAUAAGGAGGCAAGCUAUACCCUAGAAGAAGCAAGAAACUAAUCGUCUUGGCAACAAAACAAAGAGAAGAAAAGCACACAAACACAACCUCACACCCAAAUAUGAAUAUAACAGGAAGCAAUAAUCACUAUUCCUUAAUAUCUCUCAACAUCAAUGGCCUCAACUCCCCAAUAAAAAGACAUAGAUUAACAAAUUGGAUACGCAACGAGGACCCUGCAUUCUGCUGCCUACAGGAAACACACCUCAGAGACAAAGACAGACACUACCUCAGAGUGAAAGGCUGGAAAACAACUUUCCAAGCAAAUGGUCAGAAGAAGCAAGCUGGAGUAGCCAUUCUAAUAUCAAAUAAAAUCAAUUUUCAACUAAAAUUCAUCAAAGAUAAGGAAGGACACUUCAUAAUCAUCAAAGGAAAAAUCCACCAAGAUGAACUCUCAAUCCUAAAUAUCUAUGCCCCAAAUACAAGGGCACCUACAUACGUAAAAGAAACCUUACUAAAGCUCAAAACACACAUUGCACCUCACACAAUAAUAGUAGGAGACUUCAACACCCCACUCUCAUCAAUGGACAGAUCAUUGAAACAGAAAUUAAACAGAGACGUAGACAGACUAAGAGAAGUCAUGAUCCAAAUGGACUUAACAUAUUUAUAGAACAUUCUACCCUAAAGCAAAAGGAUAUACUCAGCUCCUCAUGGUACUUUCUCCAAAAUUGACCAUAUAAUUAGUCAAAAAACGGGCCUCAACAGGUACAGAAAGAAAUAAUCCCAUGCGUGCUAUCGGACCACCACGGCCUAACACUGGUCUUCAAUAACAAUAAGGGAAGAAUGCCCACAUAUACUUGGAAAUUGAACAAUGCUCUACUCAAUGAUAACCUGGUCAAGGAAGAAAUAAAGAAAGAAAUUAAAGACUUUUUAGAAUUUAAUGAAAAUGAAGGUACAACAUACCCAAACUUAUGGGACACAAUGAAAGCUGUGCUAAGAGGAAAACUUAUAGCGCUGAGUGCCUGCAGAAAGAAACAGGAAAGAGCAUAUGUCAGCAGCUUGACAGCACACUUAAAAUCUCUAGAACAAAAAGAAGCAAACACACCCAGGAGGAGUAGAAGGCAGGAAAUAAUCAAACUCAGAGCUGAAAUCAACCAAGUAGAAACAAAAAGGACCAUAGAAAGAAUCAACAGAACCAAAAGUUGGUUCUUUGAGAAAAUCAACAAGAUAGAUAAACCCUUAGCCAGACUAACGAGAGGACACAGAGAGUGUAUCCAAAUUAACAAAAUCAGAAAUGAAAAGGGAGACAUAACUACAGACUCAGAGGAAAUUCAAAAAAUCAUCAGAUCUUACUACAAAAGCCUAUAUUCAACAAAACUUGAAAAUCUGCAGGAAAUGGACAAUUUCAUAGACAGAUACCAGGUACUGAAGUUAAAUCAGGAACAGAUAAACCAGCUAAACAACCCCAUAACUCCUAAGGAAAUAGAAGCAGUCAUUAAAGGUCUCCCAACCAAAAAGAGCCCAGGUCCAGACGGGUUUAGUGCAGAAUUCUAUCAGACCUUCAUAGAAGACCUCGUACCAAUAUUAUCCAAACUAUUCCACAAAAUUGAAACAGAUGGAGCACUACCAAAUUCCUUCUAUGAAGCCACAAUUACACUUAUACCUAAACCACACAAAGACCCAGCAAAGAAAGAGAACUUCAGACCAAUUUCCCUUUUGAAUAUCAACGCAAAAUUACUCAAUAAAAUUCUGGCAAACCAAAUCCAAGAACACAUCAAAACAAUCAUCCACCAUGAUCAAGUAGGCUUCAUCCCAGGCAUGCAGGGAUGGUUUAAUAUAUGGAAAACCAUCAACGUGAUCCAUGAUAUAAACAAACUGAAAGAACAAAACCACAUGAUCAUUAGAUGCUGAGAAAGCAUUUGACAAAAUUCAACACCCCUUCAUGAUAAAAGUCCUGGAAAGAAUAGGAAUUCAAGGCCCAUACCUAAACAUAGUAAAAGCCAUAUGCAGCAAACCAGUUGCUAACAUUAAACUAAAUGGAGAGAAACUUGAAGCAAUCCCACUAAAAUCAGGGACUAGACAAGGCUGCCACUCUCUCCCUACUUAUUCAAUAUAGUUCUUGAAGUUCUAGCCAGAGCAAUCAGACAACAAAAGGAGGUCAAGGGGAUACAGAUCGGAAAAGAAGAAGUCAAAAUAUCACUAUUUGCAGAUGAUAUGAUAGUAUAUUUAAGUGAUCCCAAAAGUUCCACCAGAGAACUACUAAAGCUGAUAACCAACUUCAGCAAAGUGGCUGGGUAUAAAAUUAAGUCCAAAUAAAUCAGUAGACUUCCUCUACACAAAAGAGAAACAAGCCGAGAAAGAAAUUAGGGAAACGACACCCUUCAUAAUAGACCCAAAUAAUAUAAAGUACCUCGGUGUGACUUUUACCAAGCAAGUAAAAGAUUUGUACAAUAAGAACUUCAAGACUCUGAAGAAAGAAAUUGAAGAAGUCCUCAGAAGAUGGAAAGAUCUCCCAUGCUCAUGGAUUGGCAGGAUUAAUAUAGUAAAAAUGGCCAUUUUACCAAAAGCGAUCUACAGAUUCAAUGCAAUCCUCAUCAAAAUACCAAUCCAAUUCUUCAAAGAGUAAGACAGAACAAUUUGCAAUUUCAUCUGGAAUAACAAAAAACCCAGGAUAGCUAAAACUAUUCUCAACAAUAAAAGGACUUCAGGGGGAAUCACUAUCCCUGAACUCAAGCAUUAUUACAGAGCAAUAGUGAUUAAAACUGCAUGGUAUUGGUACAGAGACAGACAGAUAGACCAAUGGAAUAGAAUUGAAGACCCAGAAAUGAACUCACACACCUAUGGGCACUUGAUUUUUGACAAAGGAGCCAAAACCAGCAAAUGGAAGAAAAAUAGCAUUUUCAGCAAAUGGUGCUGGUUCAACUGGAGGUCAACAUGUAGAAGAAUGCAGAUCGAUCCAUGCUUAUCACCCUGUACAAAGCUUAAGUCCAAGUGGAUCAAGGACCUCCACAUCAAACCAGACACACUCAAACUAAUAGAAGAAAAACUAGGGAAGCAUCUGGAACACAUGAGCACUGGAAAAAAUUUCCUGAACAAAACACCAAUGGCUUAUGCUCUAAGAUCAAGAAUCGACAAAUGGGAUCUCAUAAAACUGCAAAGCUUCUGUAAGGCAAAGGACACUGUGGUUAGGACAAAACGGCAACCAACAGAUUGGGAAAAGAUCUUUACCAAUCCUACAACAGAUAGAGGCCUUAUAUCCAAAAUAUACAAAGAACUCAAGAAGUUAGACCGCAGGGAGACAAAUAACCCUAUUAAAAAAUGGGGUUCAGAGCUAAACAAAGAAUUCACAGCUGAGGAAUGCCGAAUGGCUAAGAAACACCUAAAGAAAUGUUCAACAUCUUUAGUCAUAAGGGAAAUGCAAAUCAAAACAACCCUGAGAUUUCACCUCACACCAGUGAGAAUGGCUAAGAUCAAAUACUAAGGUGACAACAGAUGCUGGCGAGGAUGCGGAGAAAGAGGAACACUCCUCCAUUGUUGGUGGGAUUGCAGACUGGUACAACCAUUCUGGAAAUCAGUCUGGAGGUUCCUCAGAAAAUUGGACAUUGAACUGCCUAAGGAUCCAGCUAUACCUCUCUUGGGCAUAUACCCAAAAGAUGCCCCAACAUAUAAAAAAGACACAUGCUCCACUAUGUUCAUCGCAGCCUUAUUUAUAAUAGCCAGAAGCUGGAAAGAACCCAGAUGCCCUUCAACAGAGGAAUGGAUACAGAAAAUGUGGUACAUCUACACAAUGGAAUAUUAAUCAGCUAUCAAAAACAAUGACUUUAUGAAAUUUGUAGGCAAAUGGUCGGAACUGGAAAAUAUCAUCCUGAGUGAGCUAACCCAAUCACAGAAAGACACACAUGGCAUGCACUCAUUGAUAAGUGGCUAGUAGACCAAAUGCUUGAAUUACCCUAGAUGCCUAGAACAAAUGAAACUCAAGACAGAUGAUCAAAAUGUGAAUGCUUCACUCCUUCUUUAAAAGGGGAAUAAGAAUACCCUUGUCAGGGAAUAGAGAGGCAAAGAUUAAAACAGACACAGAAGGAACAUCCAUUCAGAGCCUGCCCUACAUCUGGCCCAUGCAUAUAUAGUCAUCCAAUUAGACAAGAUGGAUGAAGCAAAGAAGUGCAGGCCGACAGGAGCCGGAUGUAGAUCUCUCCCGAGAGACACAGCCAGAAUACAGCAAAUACAGAGGCGAAUGCCAGCAGCAAACCACUGAACUGAGAACGGGACCCCCGUUGAAGGAAUCAGAGAAAGGACUGGAAGAGCUUGAAGGGGCUCGAGACCCCAUAUGUACAGCAAUGCCAACCAACCAGAGUUUCCAGGGACUAAGACACUACCGAAAGACUAUACAUAGACUGACCCUGGACUCUGACCUCAUAGGUAGCAAUGAAUAUCCUAGUAAGAGCACCAGUGGAAGGGGAAGCCCUGGGUCCUGCUAAGACUGAACCCCCAGUGAACUAGACUGUUGGGGGGAGGACGUCAACGGGGGGGGGAGGAUGGGGAGGGGAACGCCCAUAAAGAAGGGAAGGGGGGGUUGGGGAUUUGGCUCAGUGGUAGAGCGCUUGCCUAGGAAGCGCAAGGCCCUGGGUUUGGUUCACAGCUCCGGAAAAAAAAAAAACAAACAAAAAAAAACCAAAAACAAAAAACAAGAAGGGGAGGGGGGAGGGGGAUAUUUGCCCGGAAACCGGGAAAGGGAAUAACACUCGAAAUGUAUAUAAGAAAUACUCAAGUUAAUUAAAAAAAAAAAAGAAAUCAUUAGUGCAAACAUAUCUUUUAUUCUUAUGUAUGUGAUUGUCCUCUUGGAGGCUUUCUGCCUCAGUCUACUAACCUAGGCCUAGACCUGGAAGCCUUUAGCCUCCAUACAAUCUUAACUAGACCUAGAAUGUUUUCAACUUCUGAAACUUGUUGCUGAAUAAACUCAACCUUUCUAGAUCUUUCUGAACUCAGGCUAGCAGGUUUAACUCAGGUGUUAUGGCUAAUAAUUCCUCCCCAAGCUGGCUUCUCUCUCAGCCUCUGAAUCUUGCUCUUCUUGGACCCAAACUAACACUUUUCUAAGCUUCUCUCUCCUUCUUAUUCUCUGGCCUUUUCUGUAUUUAGGAAAUGUUCAUGAACCCCAAAAAUAUCACCAACGAGCAGACUUCGAUGUAAUUGUAAUUGGGUCUCUUUAUUGAAGCUGGAGCUUGGACUCCCCGCCAACCCUGAUAUAGCCAAAAGGUGGAGCCUUAAGCCCAGUUUUAGGCAAGUAUCUAUAGAGGCAAGAAAGGGUUAUCUAGCUUAGUACACAUCUGAGUGGAGGGUCAUUGUGACCUUUAACAUAAUUUGCUGGUGCUGGGAGCCAUAAACUUAACUUCUGUUUUCCUCCUGGUUGAUAGUUGUUAGGAAGUGAAGUGUUAGGGGUAGGCUUGAAACCUGGAGGUGUGGAUUUGUUGGGGAAUAACCUGGAAAUUGGUGUUAGACAUAGGUCUUGUAGGGGAUAGGUGGAGGUAGCCUGGAAACUGGUGCUAAGUACUGGCCUGUUAGUUAACUUGAGUUCAACCUUAAGUCAGGUUCUCCAAGGUAGAAUCUGAAUCCAAAGAUCUAAUCUUUGACUGUCUCUAUACAACUGGCCUAAUAAACCUGCCCCUGAAGUAGCUUCCUUUUUUUCUGCACUGCCCCUUAAGUAGAUUCCCAACAGAUAUGUUGGACUUGUUCUGCCAAAUCUUUCUCUGAUUCAUCACUUUGUCUGCCACUCAAUUAGACAUCACUUUCAAACUUGGGUGUUUCUUUCUACCAACUAACUUUACCUUCAUUGUUUGGGAUUAAAGGUGUGUGCUAGGGACUUAGCCACACCACUACUAGAAAUUGGAUUUUCCAGUAAGUAACACAAUCUCAGGCUUCACAGUGUGAUCAGACACCUAUGACAAUUCGUGUCUGAACUGUUUGUUUAUUCUUUAAAGUUUUUCAUUGCGAGUCAGUCACUUUCAUCUGUUUCUGCAAGUUUAUAAGUUUUUUUUUGUUACUUGAUUCUUAUUUCUUGCAGUCUUUUUCUUUGUCUCUAUUAGGUCUGCCAUGUUCGUAUUGAAAUAGUGUUCAUAUUUGAGAGACCACCCCCUACUUUUUUCUAAAAUUUCCUCUAGGCUCUUAAGCUGCUCAUCUACUUGACAUAUAUCUAUUUAGAGAAACCUAGGUCUCAGUCCAGAUUCAUUACUUUCUAAGUUAGCACACAUGAUUCAAUUUCUUCCCAGUAGAGACUUUAGAAUUAGUGUUAAUAGAGUGAACGUGAAAGCAUUAAGAAAUGUCACGGCCUGAGGAAGAAUAUCUGUUCCUUUUCAGACUAUGACCAGAGCUGAUAAGAGCUCCCGUAUUGCAAGGACAGUCUGUGAAGUCUGUUCUUAUGCCCUCCCCGACUUGUUCUGUCUUCCUUAUGAGGCAAGAGUGUCAAGAGUGAGCCUAGGAGUCCUCUACCCUCACCGGUACUUCCUGCGGUUGUAUGAACAGCACUGCUUGCAAGGUUGCCUCUCACGUGCACGGCUAAAAAGAACGUGUCCUGAAUAUUUUUCUGCUUCGCAAGUCAAAAAAUAUACAUGCUCACAGCAGUCUGUUUUCUAAAUGACAUUGACAUGAUCUGUAUAACAGUGUGUCAGAAUUAGUAAUAGUUCUCAUUGUCACUAACCUAAAAUUCUGUAGGACAACACAUACUAAUGCACAAAUAGAAAUUACACUUACCUGAGCAUUUGUUACAUAAACUGCUGUAGGAAAUGUUUGCAUGCCAUUUCACAUUAACCAAACGACUGUCACUCACUCCCAGAGGAUGCAUUUACACACACACGCACACGCAUACACACACACACACACACUCUUCAUCAGUAUAAAAAUAUCACACACUAAAAUAAGACCUGGUCUCUAUAUCAAAAUGACCUUUCUACACAGACUGUUGCACUUCUUAAAACCUCCAGUCGAGUAUGUGAGUGUAAGAGAAGAUUUGCUUGCUCUUGUUUUUAAUCCUGGAACAGGGGCUAUGAGUAUAUUACAGUGUCUUUCAUCCUUUUAUGAGUAAAUAUGGUUAUAAUAAGAACUGAUUACCAGAUUAAGAAUGACCCUUGAUAAUAUCAGGGUGUUGAGAUUUCCCAAAAAUGAAUGAUUUUUGUUAAAUUCUUUUUUUUAAGUUUUUAAAAUUGUGAAGUUAAAAUACGCUUACAUAAUUAUCCCCUUUCUUCCUUUCAAGCUCUCCUAUAUCCCUCUCUUCCUUGCUUUCUGUCAAACUCAUAUCUCUAUUUUCUUUGCUAUUAUAUAGCAAAUGCAUAAAUCCAUAGAGACAACCUGCUCCGUCCAUCUAGUGUUUCUUGUAUAUAUGUGAUUUAAAGCUGACCACUCUGUGCUGAUAACCCCUAGGGAGUUGAUUCCUGGAGAUGGCACUUUGUCCCCCUCUCAGCAUUCUGUUUGGGCCUUUGUUUGGGGCUGGGGCACUUUGAGAUUUCUCUCUGUUAGCAGGUCUAUUGUCAUCCUAGUUGAAGUCUGUAAAGUCUGGGCUGCGGACGAGGGAUAUAGUUCCCUUGGGAAACACCUGGGCCUGCACACAAGAAGCUCCCAGGUUAAUCCAAGACCCCAGGGGUGCAGAUCAUGCCUGGGAUCCCAGCUCUAAGGAAGGUGCAGGCAAGGAGAGACAUUCAAGGCCAUCCUCGGCUGUCAGCUACAAGAACAGCCUGGGCUACAUGAGACCUAUUCCAAUUUAAAAAAAAAAAAAAAGCAGGAAUGAAUGAGGCCUGUGCCCUAUUAUUUUAUCUUGGCCUCUGGUUUUUAGUGUUAUGUUUCUGGCAAUCUCAGCUUUCCUGGAAGUUAUAUACAUUGUUCAAACUUUGCUGCACUCAUUCUCUUUCUCCAAGUCUUCCUCUCCAUUGCCAAAGCCAGUCUAAACACACACUCAUGUGCUCCUGCAGCUUGUUACUGAGUCACUUCAGAACAGGCUGCAUCGAGUGUGUUCAUCUCCUCAGGGUGUGUUUCCUAAGAAAUGUUCAUACAGAACUGCAAAAACACAUUUAAUACAAGAGCAUUUGAUAGCGAUGUGCUUGCCGCAAUGCUUUUUUCAUCUUUUUAUCCAUUAUCCCGAUAAUGUUCUCAUAGUACCAUUAAAAUUUUAAUCACACAUAGGUCAGAAGAUAACCUCUAGAAUUGUUCUUUUCUUCCUCCAUGUAGGUUCCAGGCAUGAUGAUUCUUCUCGAUCUUGAUUCUUUACCUUCCCCACUUCACUUUCAUGGCAUUUGAUUCGUUUUCAUUUAAUGUUACAGGCAUUUCCUUUAAUGUAUAGGUAUCAUUUAAUGCUAUAGGUAUUUUAUUUAAAUACAGGUAUCUUUUAAUGUUAUAAGUAUUUCAUUUAAAAUAUAGGUAUCAUUUAAUGUUAUAGGUACUCUAAAGGAAUUAUAUAUAUUCUAUUGGACUCUUCUACUCACCUUUAAUGCUAUAAGGUAUAAUCAAGAAUAAUUAAGACUCAGUGGUACCUUGUGUCUCAUAACUGAUUUAGCUGCACAAAAACACUUGUAUCUGGAUGCUUAUCUGGAACUUUGUGCAGGCACGUGAAGAACACAACUGGUAAUUCACAAGUGCUAUUUCCCAUGCUUACCUUCCAUAUCAUUGAUUAAAACAACAAAUCUUUAUUGAUACCUAAUACUGUGCUUUCUCUCAAAUAGGUGCUAUGCUACAGUAUUGUAUAGGUGGGUACAUUAGCAAAGUCACCAUUGCUAAGAGCUGGCUUAAGGAUAUAAAGAACCAAUGAUACAGUCGCCUGACUAUAAUUGCUAAGUUUGGUAAUUGCCUCUAGUUAAAUUGUGUAAUAUGGUGGAGGCAAGGGGAUUCCAUGACUGGGUAGCAAAAGAAAGGCCUCUCUGGCACGUGAGCAUAACAACCAUGCCAUGUAAAUUCUCAUUUUUAAAUAUAUCUAAUUGUGUCCCACCUCUUAAUCCCAGAUUGCACCGUUAGUUCAGCAUCUGUUUUCCGUUUGCUGAAUGGAUUAUCUCUUUGAACCAUGUCUGCUUUUAGUUCAGGCCUUUCUAGUCUCAUCGCUCUACACAUAGAACUAAGACUAACUGUGCUGUUCAACAACUGACAUCCACACUUAGCUUUUGCAGCCAUCCAAGGACUGAUCUUCCAGUCUUUUAUUUCUUUUGACUCCCCCAUAUCUUCCAUAAUAGCAUAUGCUGUGCCGUCACAGUCUUGCUAUUCUGCCUGAUAAGUGUUCCCAAGGAAGACCUUUUUCCCUUAUGCACAUGGCUUGCUAUUUAUCUACUAGGUAAAUAGAUGUCCUUUCUUUUAUUAAGACUGAACCCAAGGAUAAUCUAUCAUAUCUUGAUAUUCAUUCAGAAAUAUUUAGGAGUCCUAGAGAUGUUUGCUUUGUUUUCCAGACAGGGUUUCUCUGUGUAGCCCCUAACAGUCCCAAAACUCUCACCCUGUAGAGCAAGCUGACCUGGAACUUAGAGAUCUGCCUGUCUCUGCCUCCCAAGUGCUGGAUUGAAGGCUUGCACAAACACUGCUUGGCUCCUGGAGUCCUUUUAGGUUUAGGUUUUUUUGUGUUUAAGAAGACAUUCCUUUGUCUAUAAUCCGUGGAGCUGAGUGAAUGAAGACUUCUGUAGGAAGGGUGAGAAUCUAUUCCUUUCAGUGUUCUCCAAAUUCUCCUUUUGUGCUGCUUCCUCACAUAUGCAGCUUAGAAACACUGUACCUUACAAGUUUUGAGAAGAUUUUGAUUAUCCUCCUCAAACAUUUGUAUCAGGACAAGUGCCAGUCCUAGUCUUCAAAAUUUGAAGAAAUCAAUUCUGAAGAUCUUUUAAAAAGAUUUUAUUCUUUUUAAUCAUGUGUAUGUGUAUGGAUAUGUACGUGUCAUUGCCCAUGGAAGCUAGAGAUGUUGGGUCCUUUGGAGUUGGAGUCACGGGUGAUUGUGAGCUGCUAGGAUUCACACUUAGUAGUAUUCACACUCAGGUCUUCUCCAAGAGCAUUGCAGGCCCCAGCCACUGAGCCAUCUGUCCAACCUCCACCAUUCAUUAAGUUCUGACUAACUGACUUUACUUCCUUUUGAAGUAUUAGACAGGAUGUCCUGGGGAGUAUGCUUCAAUCCGAACACUGUGUCAAGAUGUAAAGCCAGGUGGCACACCUGCGUCCUAACAGUCAAGUGUAGGUGAGGCCUGGGAUUCAAAGCCAACCUAAUGAAAUCCUGCCUUCAAAAAGUAAGCAACUGAGAAGAAAACAAAUACCUCUGUUUGACACUUGGAAGAUAACAUUUUAGAUUAGAGCAGUAAAUGUAAAUUUCCAAAGAAGCUUGAUUAGUAAGUAGAUAAAUUUAAACUGAUACUAGUAGUUCAGCCUAUUCAGUCUUCUUGUUUGAUUUCCAGCCAGUCUGAAGUUUAAGUCACGUGUGCUGCAUCUAGUUUUCACUGUGCACAGUGCAUAGUAAGGAUGGUUCUUUUGUCUCCUUCUACACAUUAACAAACUUGCUGUCAAUGAACUAAGUACCAUAAAUCUUUCCAUAGUCAGUCUUAAGAUUCACUCUUACCAUUCUGGGUAAAACCCAGGGGAAUAACUGUGAGUGUGUGGUAUAUUCUUAUAUGAGCACAUAUGUGUGCAAUUUGCUAUAUGCGUGUGCUCAUGCAGAAACCAGAAGUAAUCUUCUGUUAUCUUUAGCACCUAAGUUUUUGAGACAGGUCUCGCAGCAUCUGAACUUUACCAUUUCAUCUACACUGGCUGGCGACCAAACCCCCAGGCCCGCCUGUCCGCCCACUGAGUGUGAGAGUUCUAGGUGCACCAUCACCCUUGGCUUUUACCUGGUGCUGGGGAUCUAAUCUCGGGCUCUUAACACUUUCACGGUGAUCUGGUUAGCCACGAAGCUAUCAACUUUCCCAGCCUCCUAGAACCUCCUAGGACUCCUAGAAAUUUGAUAAGACAUUUUGUGGCAUUUUUUUUAAUCUAUGCUAUAUGGGCCAGAAUAACAAAAUGAUAAAUUACCUACAUCAGAAACUAAGGAAAGCUUCAGGAUGAUGUCAUAAAUUUUAAAAUUGUCAUCAGCCCUGUUAUCACCAGUAUCAGGAUGAAGAGGGGAAGUUCUGCAGUUUAUUCCAGGCUGCCCUGAAACCCGAGCCACUUCUCCUUACCUCCAAAAUGCUGGGACAACAGAUGAGUGCCUCCAUACCCUAUAGAUGAAACCCUGUGUGUACACAAGUGGAGAGCAAGGAUUGCAGUCAGAUGACCUCCUCACCUGCUUCUCUACCUUAUUCUUGAGACAAGGUUGGUCUCUCACUGGAGCUCACUGAUUUGUUAGAUGAUCUGGCUUGUGAGUUCUAGGGAUCCUCCUGUUCCUAUCUCUCUAGCACUGGGAUUGUAGAAUAGCACUAUAACCAAUUUGACCUGUAAUUGAAAAGACAGCCAGGGGUGAGCUUGAACUCCUCCUGAGCUUUCUGCCUCCACUUCCUGAGUGCUCGAAUUCUAUGUGUAGUCCAUCAUGGUUAGCUCAUAAGAAAAAAAAAAAUUAAGGGGAAUUUUAGAUUUAUUUGUGUGUGUGUGUGUGUGUGUGUGUUUUAUGUGUGCACACACAAAUACAUACAUUGGCACAGUGCACAUGUGGAAAUGAGAGGAUAAUUGCGGGAAUUCAGUUUUCCUUUCACUAUAUGGGCUCCAAACAUCAAACCUAGGUCAUCAGAUAUGGUGGUAAUUAAUUCCCUUUAUCCACGUGGCCACCUCACCAGCCCUAAAAGAAGUUCUUAGUGUCCCCAUGAAUAAGGCUGAAGAAAUAGCUCUUCUAAGAACUUGCUGGUCUUCUAGGGUACCUGUGUUUGAUUCCUAGUAACUAUAUUAGACAGCCUACAGUUGCCUGUAACUCCAAAUGGCCGCACAUGCUCACACACACCCACACACACACACACACACACACACACACACGCUCACACACACACACGCUCACACACACACACACACACACACUAUACACACUAACACAAACAUAUACACAUAUCAAUAAAAAUUGUUUAAAUCGUUAAAAGGAGGUGGAGGAACCCACCAAUGCCUUGUAAACUAACAGUCAGGUGUGAGUUUCUGGUGUGAGUUUCUGGUGUGAGCUGCAGAGAAACUCUGGUUGUGUCUGUCUCAUUCCCUCUUGCUGUUUGGGGAUAAGUGCAUACCUGGCUGAGCUGAAACCACCUACAUUCAGAGAUCAGUGAAUGCCAAUAGAUAUAGCAGAGAAAGACAAGUCUAAAAGACAAGUUUGUUUGUUUAUUAUUAGUAUUUGGGAAUUGGAUAUAGAGACUCAAACAGUAAUCUUUUUUAAUGAAAAGAAAUAAUAUGGUUACUAAAAAAGCUAGAAAAGAUAAGAACUUUUUGAAAGAUUUAUUUUAGUAAUCAAAAAAUUAGAUAAUAUAGUCACAACUAAAAAAUGUUUAAGAAAGCACAAGAUUCAUGAAACCAAUAACAAGACAAUAGAAAAAGACAGGGGAGUGGGGAAAGCCCUGAUGAUGUUAAGAUUCAUAGCAUAGAAGGGUGAUGGUGCAAUUUUAAAAGAGAGAAAUAGUGGGGUUGGGAAGGGCAGGAGACCAAACUAGCAAUGGAAAGAUGUUAUAGACAUAAAAUGACAAACAAGAGGAGUGAGUGAGAAAACCAAGCAGAGGAAAGGCAGUAGACAUAGGAAUUAAACAGAAUCUAUCCAUGUUUAGAAAGCCCGAGUACAAAAGGGAAACAAACACAAUAAAAUGAAAGAGGGAAAAUCCAUUACCUGCUUCUGCAAUGAGAAGUCAAGGACUCUGGACAGUGAGAGAAGACAGGAAACAGUCAUUUUGUGUCACAAGCAUGAAUGUUAAGGGACCCGGGCUGUGUAAGCCCUUUACUAAGAAAACAAAUCUGGUGGAGCGGGUUUUCCUCCCUAGUACUCUUUAUUUAUUCUUAGCAGUGUUUAUUGACCAUCCAGUGUGAGCCAAGCACUGUUUCUAGGCACUAGGACUUUGGGUUUAACCAAAUGAAAGGGUCUUUGUCUUCAUAACAACGUUCCUCUGGUACAAAUCAAAAAAUAUACAAAUAAUCAGUAUGUAAACACAAAUAUUUAAAACAGACUGUAAUUCAGAAAAGCUUGUACUCUGAGUGUCAAGAAGGGAUCAGUUAGUGCGAACUUAGGAUGCCAAUUACCCUGAAAACCCUGCUUGAAAUGGUAAGUUCACCAAUCAGAGGAAGUAUAGGAGAGCUCAUAAAUCAAAGUCUGAAGGCAUGAAAGAACAGGCAGCGGACUGUUACUCUAAAAUGUAACCCUAACUGCCAUGGUUAUAUUGUUUAUAAAGGUUAAUCUUAGUUGAUAAGGCUAAUACAUAAUAUCAGCAUAUUGAUUUUAAUGUAAGUAGAGACAAUUAUGAAUCGUAACUAAACUUAGGGACUCAGUAGUAAAAGAAUAUAAUGUUUACAUAUAAUAUAUGUAAUAUUAUAUCCCAAAUAGUUACAAUAAUAGUUACUUUUUAAGUAUAUCAUAGUCUGGUGGUUAGUCUAAUCAGCUUGAUACAGUCUCAAAUCAUCCAAGAGACACUCAAUGAAGAACUGUCUAGGUCAGGUUUCCUGUGAGCACAUCUGUGGGAGAUUUUCAUGGUCAUGCUAAUUGUGUUGAGAAAAUAUCCCCUUCCCUAUGUGAGGGAUCCUGAACUGUCUAAGAGUGGAGAAAUUGACCUGAGGGCGAGAAUGCAUGUUAAUUUAUUGAUCUCUUGACUAUGACCUGCUCUGUUUCCAACAUGGGCUGGUUCAACCUUCUGCCACCCAACCUGGGUGCUCUUGACUCUGGGUGUGCUGUGACUAUGUGACUAGCUGCUUCAAGUCAUGCACCUGGACUGCUUUGCAGUGAUAGACUAUAACUUACUUAUUUAGCAUAUACCCAGAACAGAAUGGAGGAAUAGCAAGGCCAGAAUCUAUAAUAACUGACAGAUAAUAAAACAUCCAGCAAAAACUUUUUUUAACUCUAGAAAGAAUGAAUGUAACUUUUCUAACAAUUAUAAAUGUGACACACUUACUAGGAUCUGUGAGAAAGAAAUGGCAGCUUUUGUAAGAAAUUAUUCUUUCAUGUCCAUAACUGACAUGAGAUCACUAAUAACGACUUAGUUUAAGAGGCAAAAAUAAUGGAGAUUGUAAAGCUGUUCUUAAAUUGCUUAAUAAUAUUGUUUUAAAAUAAUUUGGGGGGAAUUAGAAUUUCUAAUAACAUAUACAGUAAAAAUGCUCAAGUAUGUGAGGCCUAAAAACAUUCUCAGUGGUAGAGCACUUGCCUACCAUGGAAGAAACUAGAGAUUAGAGCUGCAGCACUGCCAACAGGCAGGCAGGAAAGUGGUCCUUGCAUGUCUGAUAGCCAAGAGAGAGUUCAUCAUCCUAGCUUGGGUUGCAUAGACGGGUCAGGACAUCUUGGUUGUCCAGAGAAGAUGAUCACACUUGGAAAACAAGACUUGAAGCUAGGCAUGUGUACACAUCUGUCACUCGGCAAGUAGAGAACUGAGAUGAUAGGGUAGUGAGUUCAAGGCCAGUGUGGGCUGCUCUCAAAACAAACACAAAUUAUAAAGAUGGCUUAGAAAAAAGGAAAUUAUCUAGAUUAUAGCAAUACUGAACAGAUACUUUCACAAAUUGUUUUACAAUUCCUGCUCAAUUCAAAAUUGAUAAACCAAGGUAUGAUAACUCAGAAAACUGAAACAGUCUGGACCGGUGCUGUUAAUCAGAAUUGAUUUAUUGAAUGCGGGUUAACAGCACAUGUAACUUAGGUAUAGAUUUAGCUGUGUCUCACCAGUUAGCUUAAAAAUAUGCUGGUAGUGCAACUCAGAUCUCAGGUUCCUUCAUGUCAUCGUCCUCUUUUUAGAGUGGAGCCAUGUUUUGGCCUAAGUGCAGCCAAACACCUUAGUAAAGGUGUGUGUAUCACAGUGGAGAAGAAGUUAGAUCAGAAUGAAUGCAGGAGUGUUCAGAAGGAAGCCAGGUGCGCGCUUUUCUCAGGACCUCUUAGUAGCAUCGUGUUUAAAAGUUACAGACGAUUCAGUUUUGUAUACACAGUUUUAGGAUGUUCCUAAGAAAUCUAGAGUCGUGACCAUUCAUUAUGAAUGUGAACUAAAUCAGAGGACAAACAUGCACUUACACAGCUCGCCCUAUAAAUGCUACUGCUCCAUUGCUUUGAGGAAAUUUUCAUAGAUUUACAUUUGAUAAAUAUACCCACUCCCAAAAUAUUGUAUAAAAAAUUGAAAUGCCAGCUAACUAAAUCAACUCAUGAAAACUAAAGCCAAAAGUAAGAUAUUUUUCCACGAUUAUUUUAAAAUAUGUUAUUUACUGGAAGGAAAGUUGAGAGAAUUGCAGCGAUGAAGUGUGAGUGUUUUUCUCCCACUUGUAAAUGAUCUCUUAUUUCCUACAGUGUAUAUUCUGGUCUACAAUGACUCAUUUUCAACAUGUUUCAAUUUAACUCCUAAUACAUUUUUAAACUUGGCAGGCAUAUUUAGAUGAACAUUAUUUCCAAUUUUAGACACAGCUUCUAAAUUAUACUUAAGUUUUGCAGUCAUCAUGAAGAGUUCUUUCACUAAAAAGGAAGUAGGAUUGAUUGGAACUGUAUGUUUUGAAGAAGAAAAAAACACCAUCUUUCCGUUUCAUUAUAUACAAAUGCUAAGCAAUAUCUGCAGACACUGCGGUUGUCCCUCGAGUGGUAGUGUUGAGUGGAGGGAGGAGUCUAUAAGAAGUUAUGACUUACCUUGGAUAGGGCGUAUUGAACUCUUCACCACGCCUAGCACUGUGGAUAGCACUGUGGAAAUUUUCUACAGUUUUUAUCACUAUUUCCUCUGUAAUACAGCUUGAAGUCAGGGAUGGUGAUUCCCGCAGAAGUUCUUUUAUUAUUGAGAAUAGUUUUCACUAUCCUGGACUUUUUUGUUAUUCUAAAUGAAUUUGCAAAUUGCUCUUUCUAUCUCUAUAAAGAAUUGAGUAGGAAUGUUGAUAGGGAUUGCAUUGAAUCUGUAGAUUGCUUAUGGCAAAAUGGCCAUCUUUACUAUAUUAAUCCUGCCAAUCCAUGAGCAUGGGAGAUCUUUCCGUCUUCUGAGAUCUUCCUCAAUUUCUUUCGUCAGAGACUUGAAGUUCUUGUCAUACAGUUCUUUCACUUGCGUGGUUGGAGUCACACCAAGAUAUUUUAUGUUAUUUGGGACUAUAGUGAAGGGUGUCAUUUCCCUAAUUUCUUUCUCAGCCUGUUUAUCCUUUGAGUAGAGGAAGACUACUGAUUUGUCUGAGUUAAUUUUAUAUCCAGCCACUUUGCUGAAGUUGUUUAUCAGGUUAAGUAGUUCUCUGGUGGAACUUUUGGGAUCACUUAAGUACACUAUCAUAUCAUCUGCAAAUAGUGAUAUCUUGAUUUCUUCCCUUCCAGUUUGCAUCCCUUUGACCUCCUUUGUCUGAUUGUUCUGUCUAGGACUUCAAGAACUAUACUGAAUAAGUAGGGAGAGAGUGGGCAGCCUUAUCUAGUUCCUGAUUUUAGUGGGAUUGCUUCAAGUAGAAGGGGAAGCCCUUGAUUCUGCCAAGGUACAGAGAACUCCAACUUAGUACAGAAAGCAAAGUUUCCGAGUUUCUCCAUCAGAGCAAGCUGAAGUCCUUUGAAAGCGAGCGUGUUCAACUCCUGCAAGAGGAAACGGCAAGAAA